GCCGAAGUGGUGGAAUUGGUAGACACGCACGCUUGAGGGGCGUGUGGGGCAACCCGUGGGGGUUCGAAUCCCCCCUUCGGCACCA
RNAcentral lists this transfer RNA (85 nucleotides) under Nitrospirota bacterium. Its description in RNAcentral is "tRNA-Leu". It matches the Rfam family "tRNA". From Rfam's summary of the family: Transfer RNA (tRNA) molecules are approximately 80 nucleotides in length. Lineage: Bacteria; Pseudomonadati; Nitrospirota. The record is from RNAcentral.